Molecule: ribosomal RNA, 418 nt
Filed under: Priestia megaterium
Lineage: Bacteria; Bacillati; Bacillota; Bacilli; Caryophanales; Bacillaceae
Description: bacterial SSU rRNA
Rfam family: Bacterial small subunit ribosomal RNA
Source: RNAcentral
GUACAAGAGUAACUGCUUGUACCUUGACGGUACCUAACCAGAAAGCCACGGCUAACUACGUGCCAGCAGCCGCGGUAAUACGUAGGUGGCAAGCGUUAUCCGGAAUUAUUGGGCGUAAAGCGCGCGCAGGCGGUUUCUUAAGUCUGAUGUGAAAGCCCACGGCUCAACCGUGGAGGGUCAUUGGAAACUGGGGAACUUGAGUGCAGAAGAGAAAAGCGGAAUUCCACGUGUAGCGGUGAAAUGCGUAGAGAUGUGGAGGAACACCAGUGGCGAAGGCGGCUUUUUGGUCUGUAACUGACGCUGAGGCGCGAAAGCGUGGGGAGCAAACAGGAUUAGAUACCCUGGUAGUCCACGCCGUAAACGAUGAGUGCUAAGUGUUAGAGGGUUUCCGCCCUUUAGUGCUGCAGCUAACGCAUUA